Molecule: long non-coding RNA, 1076 nt
Organism: Erpetoichthys calabaricus (reedfish)
Lineage: Eukaryota; Metazoa; Chordata; Cladistia; Polypteriformes; Polypteridae
Exons: 2
Source: RefSeq, a predicted model, not a curated record
AAAGAGGUGGGUGUAAGGGAGGCACUAGUGUAGCCCACCAUUUGCCCAUCAUCUGCCAACCCGGGAUGUAGCACUGUUCACACCUGCUGCAAACCUCCUAGAGUCUCAUACAAUUGUGUACAGUUUGGAAGGAAGCUCUCUGUGCCAGCCCAUACCCUCCUGUGGGCACUGCACCUUUAAAAUCCCCUGUGUGUCAUUAUCACCAGCUCGUAUAUUCCCCUUAAGUCUAUGUCAUAUAGGAGUCCUAAUUGGUGCCAGUCUGUGUGCCCCUCUUGUCUCUGUUUUCGGAAACCCUAUGUGCACUUUAAGGAUGUCCAUCACCCCUCCUGCAUUCUGACCCACUUAAUGAAAUUCACUGACUCUAGUGACAAGGUGCCCAAUUCUCUGGCACUGGGCAGUUUUGUAUGUAUGGGCAGCAUGCCAGUUCUCACCCCCCCCCCUUCUCAUUUGCCACCUGUGAGUUACCUGGGGGGCAGUGACUCUUAGUUCAUUUCUUCUUUCUAAGGUGGCACCCCUUAGAUGAAAAAAAAAUGUGCUGCACCUCAGUGUCCUAUAAAGCCACUAUGACACCAAAAUCUGUCACAAAUGUCCUCCGGUCUAUGCUGGCGGGUACAUAUCGACCCACUGGGCCAGUCUUGGAGCUUGAGGAGACAGGGAAAGCUGGUUUGAUUAGGGGGAGAAGAACAGUUGGCAAGGAAAAGGAGCACAAAAUGAAGAAGUGAAAGUGCAAAGGGUGACAGGGAAGGGACAAAAAAUUGAGGAGAAGGGGAGGGGGAAUGAGAAAAAGAUGAAAAGGGAGGAAGAGGAGGAGCAAAUAGCCAGCCAGGGGGCAUCAGCAGGUGGUGACUCUAGGGGCCCAAAAUUUUCAUCUGUCUUCAUAACCGGAAAGUAAGUGGAAUCAAGUGGGAUGUCACUUGGGGUGCCCAGGAGGUCCUUUACUUCUUGUUCCUUCUUUACUUUUAUCCACCUGUGACAUCCACAAUGUGAUUUGUGACAGCCCUGCCACUGCCAGCACAUUAAACUGCCCCAAAAUAACCUGUGCUCAUGAAUGGCAGAAUAAUAAUAAAAAAAACAAA